RNAcentral lists this ribosomal RNA (537 nucleotides) under uncultured bacterium. RNAcentral's name for it is "bacterial SSU rRNA". It matches the Rfam family "Bacterial small subunit ribosomal RNA", at positions 355 to 895 of the family's 1533-position model. The record is from RNAcentral.
UGAGGAAUAUNGNNNANGGUCGGAAGACUGAUCCAGCCAUGCCGCGUGCAGGAUGAAGGUCCUAUGGAUUGUAAACUGCUUUUGUAAGGGAAGAAUAAGGAGUACGUGUACUUUGAUGACGGUACCUUACGAAUAAGCAUCGGCUAACUCCGUGCCAGCAGCCGCGGUAAUACGGAGGAUGCGAGCGUUAUCCGGAAUCAUUGGGUUUAAAGGGUCCGUAGGCGGGCUGAUAAGUCAGAGGUGAAAGCGCUUAGCUCAACUAAGCAACUGCCUUUGAAACUGUCAGUCUUGAAUGAUUGUGAAGUAGUUGGAAUGUGUAGUGUAGCGGUGAAAUGCUUAGAUAUUACACAGAACACCGAUAGCGAAGGCAUAUUACUAACAAUUUAUUGACGCUGAUGGACGAAAGCGUGGGGAGCGAACAGGAUUAGAUACCCUGGUAGUCCACGCUGUAAACGAUGGAUACUAGCUGUUUGGAGCAAUCUGAGUGGCUAAGCGAAAGUGAUAAGUAUCCCACCUGGGGAGUACGCACGCAAGUGU